CAGCAGCCGCGGGAAUACGUAGGUCCCGAGCGUUGUCCGGAUUUAUUGGGCGUAAAGCGAGCGCAGGCGGUUAGAUAAGUCUGAAGUUAAAGGCUGUGGCUUAACCAUAGUACGCUUUGGAAACUGUUUAACUUGAGUGCAAGAGGGGAGAGUGGAAUUCCAUGUGUGGCGGUGAAAUGCGUAGAUAUUGGGAAGAACACCAGUGGCGAAGGCGGCUCACUGGACCGACACUGACGCUGAGGCGCGAAAGCGUGGGGAGCAAACAGGAUUAGAUACCCGCGUAGUCCCUGUCUCUUAUACA
Molecule: ribosomal RNA, 301 nt
Filed under: uncultured bacterium
Lineage: Bacteria
Description: partial 16S ribosomal RNA
Rfam family: Bacterial small subunit ribosomal RNA
Source: RNAcentral